Molecule: long non-coding RNA, 846 nt
Organism: Penaeus indicus
Lineage: Eukaryota; Metazoa; Arthropoda; Malacostraca; Decapoda; Penaeidae
Exons: 2
Source: RefSeq, a predicted model, not a curated record
UUCGAUCAACUCCGUUCCGCAAAACUGACUCCUCUCCCCAUAGCACCAAGAGACCCCAUAGCAUUCGCAACCCUGUGACCCCAUAUAUUCCGCAAACUAACUCUCUCUCUCUCGUCUCUCUCUCUCCCUACCCCCUAUAGCACCCAGCUGAACCCCCUCGAGGCCUUGACCAAAGCUUUCAAACAGACCACAGAGGAAGGCAAGAUGAGCGGCCGCGCCAUGAAAUACCCCUACACCCUUUCGGCCAAGUUGGCGCAGUUCCCAUUCUCGUACUACGUCAAGAACCAGUGGGUGUUCAAGUACUACCUGAUUGGUGUCGCCGUCUCCAUUCCCGUGUUCAGCUGGUUCCAGAAGCAAGCUUGCUCGCCUGCCAACAAGGCAAAGUGGGAAGCGAAGGGAAAGGAAGAGCACUAAACGGGAGAUGGAAGAGAAUUAACGCUAAACACCGAGAGAGACGGAGGAGAGAAGAAGAGGGAAUAAGGGAGAAUAAGAGAAAAUAAGAGAAGAAAGAAGAAGAGGAGAGAAGAGAGAUGAUGAAAAGGAGAGACGGAUGAGAGAAGAAGAGAAGAAAAGGAGAGGAGAGUGAUGAUGAUGAAAAGGAAAGAGACAGAAGAGAGAAGAGAAGAAAAGGAGGAGAGAAGAGAGAGACAAUGAUAAAAAGGAGAUAGGAAAGUUGUUAAUUUCUUUGUAGAUAUUAUAUUUUUUUUUUGUUUCCGGAAAUGUUUUUUUCUUUCUUUCGAAGUGAAAAUUUACCUUUUUUUUUUUUUUUUUUUUUCCCUCUCUCUCUAUUGCGUAAUAUUUUAAUGUUGCUGUAUAAAGUUUGGAAAUAAAAAAUAUGUAACUGAA